AAGUAAGAAGCAAAAUUUGCAGUCAGUUUCGACCUGGCCUUAGAUAUAUCCACUUAUCCUUACUUU
This 66-nucleotide transfer RNA is filed under the name Sinocapritermes sp. 1 TB-2017. Its description in RNAcentral is "tRNA-Arg". Lineage: Eukaryota; Metazoa; Arthropoda; Insecta; Blattodea; Termitidae. The record is from RNAcentral.